This 465-nucleotide ribosomal RNA is filed under the name Vreelandella stevensii. RNAcentral describes it as "partial 16S ribosomal RNA". It matches the Rfam family "Bacterial small subunit ribosomal RNA", at positions 338 to 795 of the family's 1533-position model. Lineage: Bacteria; Pseudomonadati; Pseudomonadota; Gammaproteobacteria; Oceanospirillales; Halomonadaceae. The record is from RNAcentral.
CCUACGGGGGGCAGCAGUGGGGAAUAUUGGACAAUGGGCGAAAGCCUGAUCCAGCAAUGCCGCGUGUGUGAAGAAGGCCUUCGGGUUGUAAAGCACUUUCAGUGGGGAAGAAAGCCUUGGGGCUAAUACCCUCGAGGAAGGACAUCACCCACAGAAUAAGCACCGGCUAACUCCGUGCCAGCAGCCGCGGUAAUACGGAGGGUGCGAGCGUUAAUCGGAAUUACUGGGCGUAAAGCGCGCGUAGGCGGUCUGAUAAGCCGGUUGUGAAAGCCCCGGGCUCAACCUGGGAACGGCAUCCGGAACUGUCAGGCUAGAGUGCAGGAGAGGAAGGUAGAAUUCCCGGUGUAGCGGUGAAAUGCGUAGAGAUCGGGAGGAAUACCAGUGGCGAAGGCGGCCUUCUGGACUGACACUGACGCUGAGGUGCGAAAGCGUGGGUAGCAAACAGGAUUAGAUACCCCGGUAGUC